UGGGCGCAGGCAGAGCGCGUCAGCAGGCCGCGACGCCGGGGGCGGGCCUGGCCCAGCCCGGCUUAGCUAGGAUCGGCUCGGCUCGGCUCAGCUCGGCGGGACUCGGCUCGGCUAGGCUCGGCCCGGCCCGGCCGCCAGGGAGCGCGUGCGGGGCUUCGGGCCUUCCCCGGCCUGUGGAAAGGAGUAAUCAGUAAACCAGAGGAGGUGACCCUGAAAGUACAAGAUGUCAAUGAAAUACCACUGAAACCUUUCUCAAUGAAACGGUCACGUGCUAGGAGAAUUUCCUCAACUGAGAGGCUUUCGACACUCUUCUACUUAUCUUCCAAGGCUUACUUGCUGUGCCUCAGGAGAUUUGAGAGAAAAAUCUGGAAAAAUUUACAUCUGAAGAUUGUCCUUGAGUUUCUGCGAAUGAGACACGGAAGCUUGAAAACACACAGAGUGAAAGGAUGGAUCUUCAAUGUAAUAUUUGCAGUACUAAGAUGUAACUUCAGACUGGAAAAAAAUAUGGAAAUGCCAGUCAGAUUUAUGAAUAUUAUUUUUAAUAGAAGUGAUGUUCCUACAGGAAAUUAUUAUGAAGAUUUUUUUCCUCUCUAGAGGAUGUACAGUAUGGCACAGAAAAAUGGUAGCCCUACUUGGAAAAAGAAAAAUCACUUCCAACAAGCAUUAUUAGGUGUGGUGGCCAGAACUGUUCAGAGAAGAGGUGGGUGUCAGGGCCCUGAGAACACUAUUGGACCUUACUCAGCCAGCCUGCCCACCCUGGGGCCUCUCCCAACCCCUGCCCAUGGGCUUAGGAACCCCUUUCACCUUAGCCUAAAUAUAUUACUCUGAGCACCACAGCUGAAAAAAAUCAGUGGUGCUGUCAGUUUAAAAGAGACAGCAAUCUUAUGCAGACCCAGGGUAAACAACUCUAAAAAGGAGGCACAUUAGGUGUCUGUAAUAACAAACAAACAAACAAACAAACAAACAAACAAACAAACAAACAAACAAACAAACAAACAAACAAACAAACAAACGUACAGAGGGGAAAAAAAAAAACAUAGAAUUGGGUUUUCCUAUAUUGGGUAGCCCUAUAAUAAAAGGGCUAUCACCCAAGAAAUUAAAAUUUAGAAGUUAAACUGGAUUUUCAAAAACACAGUAGAAACACUGUUUCAGUAAUUCCUCGUAUGAGCAAAUGGGUAAGUUGUGAUGAAAAAGUAUUAUCAGUUAUGACCAAGAAUUUUGUGUGGUGUAAUUGGGGGUUUGUACUUUCCUCUUAGUAACGAGCUACUGUUUCCCAGCAAUAAAAUAAAUAUGAUUUUGCAGUUGACAUUAUGGGCUCUUCUUGUGGAACUAAUAAAAUGAAAAUGCUUUUAUCAAGUAUAUCAAUUACAGGAAUUUGGUUUUAUGUAGACACUGCAAAAUGUAUUCUGCUCUGGAAGAAAAGUAGUCACACUAUUACUCUAAAUAUAAAUGCGUGGUCCAGCUUAAAAACUCUUGGAACAAAUAACCAAUUGCAACUUUGUCAUUACACACAUACACAGGCAACAUAGAGUUAAUUCUGAAAGAUUUCUUACAGGUAUCUGGAUUUAAACGUUCCUACCACAGAAAAUUUUAGAAUUAAGUCUUUUCUGUCCACGUAGGUAAAUAUUUUUAUAUUUUGAAAAAGCCAACUAUCACAUAUAAAAUAAUAUUAGAAAGUAGCUGCUUGUUUUUCAAGCCUGAGACUACCAGAGGACAAAUGAUGUCUUCAUGGAGAGAAAUAUGUCCUUCUCCAAUCCAGUCCUUCACUCAUUUUCUUUGGCCAUGGAAAAUUCAGUAGACACCACUAUGGAAACAGCCCUCAGUUCUUAAAACUGUCCUUCAAAAAGUUUCCAAAUUGGGAUUCUUUUAGGAGACACAGGUUAUAAGCCUAUUAUCCUCUUAAAACCUGGGGUGAAACAGACUGGGAAAAGUGGGGGAGGAGAGAGGACUUAUGCUUUGCUGUUGUCUUGAUUACCAGAAUUUUAACCAAAUGCCGAUUAUAUGGAUUGGAAUGACAGCAACCAACUUACCAAAUGUUUAAAUGAAAGCCACCCUCCAAAGGACAGAUUUAAGUUUACACAAUAAAAUUAAUCUUUGUGCCGUGAUGCUUCAAAAACACUCAAUGUAUGUGAAAAACAGCGAUGCGGAAAAAUUAACAAUGUUUCUUCAAAAUCAGAAGCAAAACCAGCUUGUCAGGUCUCUAGAAAUGCUGAAGAAUAUUGACACUGUUGGUCAGGAAGCUUUGAAUUAUAUUGUAUGAUACAACAGUUGAAGAAAAAAGCUGAAGAGCUCUUUAAUAAGAUAGCAUAAACGCAUUUCUUCUGGAAUGACAAAGGAUAUUUUGUGUUCUAGGGGACUGCUGUUGGUGAUUCUAAUAUUCAUUAUUUAUUCUGCAGGGUCUCAAAAUGAACUUUUUGCCAGUGAAAGUGCACCUGAAUGUUGGGAAAGUUGUGAUGAAAGCCCUGGUCAAAGUGGACACUUCCAUAGUCAAGGAAAAAGCUUUCGCUCAGAUUGUAAGACAACAAUGUGACCACCUGUAAAAUGGAAACUAAUUUUAAAAAUUAAUGACUUACUGUGUCAUACUUUUAGUCUUUAAAUAAAACUCUCUUUAAAAUGUUAUAUGUAAAA
Molecule: non-coding RNA, 2628 nt
Organism: Phalacrocorax carbo (great cormorant)
Lineage: Eukaryota; Metazoa; Chordata; Aves; Suliformes; Phalacrocoracidae
Source: RefSeq, a predicted model, not a curated record